Molecule: ribosomal RNA, 253 nt
Filed under: uncultured bacterium
Lineage: Bacteria
Description: partial 16S ribosomal RNA
Rfam family: Bacterial small subunit ribosomal RNA
Source: RNAcentral
UACGAAGGGAGCUAGCGUUGUUCGGAAUCACUGGGCGUAAAGCGCACGUAGGCGGAUUGCUAAGUCAGGGGUGAAAUCCCGGGGCUCAACCUCGGAACUGCCUUUGAUACUGGCGGUCUAGAGUCCGGAAGAGGUGGGUGGAAUUCCUAGUGUAGAGGUGAAAUUCAUAGAGAUUAGGAAGAACACCGGUGGCGAAGGCGGCCCACUGGUCCGGUACUGACGAUGAGGUGCGAAAGAGUGGGGAGCAAACAGG